RNAcentral lists this ribosomal RNA (1123 nucleotides) under Saccharomycetes sp. genotype 371. RNAcentral describes it as "eukaryotic LSU rRNA". The stretch from base 529 to 1123 matches the Rfam family "Eukaryotic large subunit ribosomal RNA", at positions 1 to 601 of the family's 3401-position model. Lineage: Eukaryota; Fungi; Ascomycota; Saccharomycetes. The record is from RNAcentral.
GAUCAUUACAGUAUUCUUUUGCCAGCGCUUAACUGCGCGGCGAAAAACCUUACACACAGUGUCUUUUUGAUACAGAACUCUUGCUUUGGUUCGGCCUAGAAAUAGGUUGGGCCAGAGGUUUAACAAAACACAAUUUAAUUAUUUUUAUUGAUAGUCAAAUUUUGAAUUAAUCUUCAAAACUUUCAACAACGGAUCUCUUGGUUCUCGCAUCGAUGAAGAACGCAGCGAAAUGCGAUAAGUAAUAUGAAUUGCAGAUUUUCGUGAAUCAUCGAAUCUUUGAACGCACAUUGCGCCCUCUGGUAUUCCAGAGGGCAUGCCUGUUUGAGCGUCAUUUCUCUCUCAAACCCCCGGGUUUGGUAUUGAGUGAUACUCUUAGUCGAACUAGGCGUUUGCUUGAAAAGUAUUGGCAUGGGUAGUACUGGAUAGUGCUGUCGACCUCUCAAUGUAUUAGGUUUAUCCAACUCGUUGAAUGGUGUGGCGGGAUAUUUCUGGUAUUGUUGGCCCGGCCUUACAACAACCAAACAAGUUUGACCUCAAAUCAGGUAGGAAUACCCGCUGAACUUAAGCAUAUCAAUAAGCGGAGGAAAAGAAACCAACAGGGAUUGCCUUAGUAGCGGCGAGUGAAGCGGCAAAAGCUCAAAUUUGAAAUCUGGCGCCUUCGGUGUCCGAGUUGUAAUUUGAAGAUUGUAACCUUGGGGUUGGCUCUUGUCUAUGUUUCUUGGAACAGGACGUCACAGAGGGUGAGAAUCCCGUGCGAUGAGAUGCCCAAUCCUAUGUAAGGUGCUUUCGAAGAGUCGAGUUGUUUGGGAAUGCAGCUCUAAGUGGGUGGUAAAUUCCAUCUAAAGCUAAAUAUUGGCGAGAGACCGAUAGCGAACAAGUACAGUGAUGGAAAGAUGAAAAGAACUUUGAAAAGAGAGUGAAAAAGUACGUGAAAUUGUUGAAAGGGAAGGGUUUGAGAUCAGACUCGAUAUUUUGUGAGCCUUGCCUUCGUGGCGGGGUGACCCGCAGCUUAUCGGGCCAGCAUCGGUUUGGGCGGUAGGAUAAUGGCGUAGGAAUGUGACUUUACUUCGGUGAAGUGUUAUAGCCUGCGUUGAUGCUGCCUGCCUAGACCGAGGACUGCGAU